This 331-nucleotide unclassified non-coding RNA is filed under the name soil metagenome. RNAcentral's name for it is "partial contains 5.8S ribosomal RNA, internal transcribed spacer 2, and large subunit ribosomal RNA". The stretch from base 1 to 120 matches the Rfam family "5.8S ribosomal RNA", at positions 35 to 154 of the family's 154-position model. The record is from RNAcentral.
GAUGAAGAACGCAGCGAAAUGCGAUAAGUAAUGUGAAUUGCAGAAUUCAGUGAAUCAUCGAAUCUUUGAACGCACAUUGCGCCCCCUGGUAUUCCGGGGGGCAUGCCUGUUCGAGCGUCAUUUCACCACUCAAGCCUCGCUUGGUAUUGGGCAACGCGGUCCGCCGCGUGCCUCAAAUCGUCCGGCUGGGUCUUCUGUCCCCUAAGCGUUGUGGAAACUAUUCGCUAAAGGGUGUUCGGGAGGCUACGCCGUAAAACAACCCCAUUUCUAAGGUUGACCUCGGAUCAGGUAGGAAUACCCGCUGAACUUAAGCAUAUCAAUAAGCGGAGGA